GGGUGUGAUCAUACCAGCACCAAUGGACCGGAUCCCAUCAAAACUCCACAGUUAAGCAUGCUUGGGAAAGAGUAGUACUAGGAUGGGUGACCGCCUGGGAAGUAGUCGUGGUGCACCCC
RNAcentral lists this ribosomal RNA (119 nucleotides) under Gossypium arboreum. The record is from RNAcentral. Lineage: Eukaryota; Viridiplantae; Streptophyta; Magnoliopsida; Malvales; Malvaceae.